Molecule: long non-coding RNA, 776 nt
Filed under: Homo sapiens (human)
Lineage: Eukaryota; Metazoa; Chordata; Mammalia; Primates; Hominidae
Description: long non-coding RNA NONHSAT224241
Source: RNAcentral
GGGAACUGGAGAUUCUUCAAGGCUGGAUGGAAGUAAAUCCAAAGAAAUGAUGUGUGUGACUUAUUCUAACCACACUGUGAUUACUUAGACAUAACAGCAGUUUUGUCCACGAAAUCUGUGAAUUUUACAGUCAUGCAACUAGAAGAAUCAUGACUUAUGUUUUUUGUUUGUUUGUUUGUUUGUUUUUUCAGAAGGAGUUUCGCUCUUGUUGCCCAGGCUGGAGUGCAGUGGCUCGAUCUCGGCUCACCACAACCUCUGCCUCCCAGGUUCAAGCGAUUCUCCUGCGUCAGCCUCCCAAGUAGCUGGGAUUACAGGCAUGAGCCACCACGCCCAGCUAAUUUUGUAUUUUUAGUAGAGACAGGGUGUCUCCACGUUGGUCAGGCUGGUCUCCAACUCCCGACCUUAGGUGAUCCGCCCACCUCGGCCUCCCAAAGUGCUGGGAUUACAGGCGUGAGCCACCGUGCCCGGCCGACUUAUGUUUUAUAAUUCAUAUAUUAAUAGCUGUUUUCAUUUACUUUUGAUACUUUUAGUUGUUUUAGCUGUUAACAUUUGUUUGCAUCCUUGGGAACUUAGGUAUGUACUCCCCUAUCCAUGUUAUACCCACGGUUAUCUGGAAGAACAUGGCUCUUAAGUUACUCCAGGCUGGUGUGGUCUGGGGAAGCAAGAGUUACCAUACAAUUUGGUACUUUGUUACAUGUACUCUUCUGGUGUUCACUCUAACAGGAUUCUAAGUUCCUUAAGGACAAGGACUAUCUUUCAUAACAAUGCUACUCCAA